UACGAAGGGGGCUAGCGUUGUUCGGAAUUACUGGGCGUAAAGCGUGCGGAGGCGGCUUUGUAAGCCGGGGGUGAAAGCCCGGAGCUUAACUCCGGAAUUGCCUUUGGGACUGGAAUGCUUGAGAACGGGAGAGGUGAGUGGAAUUCCCGGUGUAGAGGUGAAAUGCGUAGAUAUUGGGAAGAACACCGGUGGCGAAGGCGGCUCUCUGGCCCGUUUCUGACGCUCAGGUGCGAAAGCGUGGGGAGCAAACAGG
RNAcentral lists this ribosomal RNA (253 nucleotides) under uncultured bacterium. RNAcentral describes it as "partial 16S ribosomal RNA". It matches the Rfam family "Bacterial small subunit ribosomal RNA", at positions 524 to 776 of the family's 1533-position model. The record is from RNAcentral.